GGAAGAUCACUGGGGACACCCGUCACCCCAUCCAUAAACUGCUUCAGCUGCUUCCGUCUGGCAAACGAUACCCACAGCAUUAAAGCCAGGACCAACAGGCUACAAGCCCACUCCUUUUGGAUAUGCUUGGUGGAGGGGAAGGCUAUUCUUGUGAUGAAACCUGUGAAGCUGGUGCACCUAUUUCAAAGAAGGAAACCGCAGCAUCUGGAAGAAACUCACUCACUCAUGGGAAAGGCGUAAAAACUUCUUCCAGAGGAUGCCGGAAAUGAACUCUGAACUUUGCCCCUGAGCGGUGGCUGUCGACCAAGUUAUGAGGGGCUUAGAUGUCCACAAUAAGGACAUGAGAAGUUGUGCUGGAUCUGAGAGUGGAGAUGCUUCUAUUGCUUACAUCUUGGUCGCGCAGCGGUUAGUAGGCACUUAAGUCUAGUCUAAAUCCCUGGUUAGCUUUUUACAUUGUUUUGCAGGUAAGCCUCUCAUCCUUGUAGAGGUUUUUGAGGUACUUCUCUAACUGACAUAAUCUACUCUAAUAUUUUGUUGUGAUCAAUGUGUAACAUAUACUUCACUUGCUGAAUCCAGCAAAAUUGGCAUUUACCCUCCUCUGAAACCACUAGAGCUAUCAGCACUCCUGGGCUGACUGCUCACUCUACUCUGGGUCUCCUUACUCCCUGUCUCAUCUUUCAUUCCCUCUUCCACCAAGGCCUCCACUGGAACAUCUGAAAAUGGCUGAGUCCACUUCCCCCUUUAUUGUGUCAGAAUAUAUAGAGAAUAUACAGCACAGAAACAGUGCCAUAAACAAAAAUGCAUCACUCUCAGAAUUACUGCAACUGUAGUAAGCUAAUACCCUUCAAAAGACUCACAAUAUUUAAACAAC
Hypanus sabinus (Atlantic stingray) is the source of this 871-nucleotide long non-coding RNA. RefSeq lists it as uncharacterized. NCBI's taxonomy places the organism in Eukaryota, Metazoa, Chordata, Chondrichthyes, Myliobatiformes, Dasyatidae. The transcript has 4 exons. The record is from RefSeq and is a predicted model, not a curated record.